CCCUUAGAUGUUCUGGGCCGCACGCGCGCUACACUGACGAAUGCAACGAGCUUAUAACCUUGGCCGAAAGGUCUGGGUAAUCUCCAAAUUUCGUCGUGAUGGGGAUAGAUUAUGCAAUUAUUAAUCUUCAACGAGGAAUGCCUAGUAAGCGCAAGUCAUCAGCUUGCGUUGAUUACGUCCCUGCCCUUUGUACACACCGCCCGUCGCUCCUACCGAUUGAAUGGUCCGGUGAAGCGUUCGGACCGUGGCCUUUGGACGGUUCGCCGUCUGUUGGCUGCGGGAAGUUCGUUAAACCUUAUCAUUUAGAGGAAGGAGAAGUCGUAACA
This 326-nucleotide ribosomal RNA is filed under the name uncultured eukaryote. RNAcentral describes it as "partial 18S ribosomal RNA". It matches the Rfam family "Eukaryotic small subunit ribosomal RNA", at positions 1470 to 1796 of the family's 1831-position model. The record is from RNAcentral.